CAGAGUUCAUGCCCUUCGGGGUAGACCUCCCACCCUUGUGUAUUUAUACCAUGUUGCUUUGGCGGGCCGCCGCAAGGCUACCGGCUCCGGCUGGUACGUGCCCGCCAGAGGACCCAAACCCUGAAAUUAGUGUCGUCCGAGUACUAUAUAAUAGUUA
This 157-nucleotide unclassified non-coding RNA is filed under the name uncultured Lambertella. RNAcentral's name for it is "sequence contains ITS1". The record is from RNAcentral. Lineage: Eukaryota; Fungi; Ascomycota; Leotiomycetes; Helotiales; Rutstroemiaceae.